Molecule: microRNA precursor, 98 nt
Filed under: Chlorocebus sabaeus (green monkey)
Lineage: Eukaryota; Metazoa; Chordata; Mammalia; Primates; Cercopithecidae
Description: mir-544 microRNA precursor family
Rfam family: mir-544 microRNA precursor family
Source: Rfam by way of RNAcentral
AUCUUCUGAGGAUCUUGUUAAGAUGCAGAUUCAGAUUCUGUGGGUCUGGAGUGGGGCCUAGGAUUCUGCAUUUCUAGCAAGCCCCCAGACGAUGUGGA